CGGCGAAGGCCUAAUAAGUUGGCAUCCUUCUUAAUAUCCUGACUUGACACUUCCAUGCAGUAAAAUCCUUCCAAAGAAUCUAACACUAAACAUGCAGCAUCAGGAGAAGCUUUUAAUGCAUGUGGUAUUUCUUCCCUUAUAGCAGCAAGGUUCUUACGGUUAUCAGAUAUGAAUUUGUGAAGUCCAGAGACAUCCAUCUCUUUACAAAGUUUUACCAACUCUGGAUAAGAGAUCGAUUCCAAAUUUCCAUUUCCAGGAGAAAGUUUCACAUCUUCUACAAGACCUUCCGUCACAUUAGAAAUAGCAUCCAUCGGUUUCUCUUCCACGUCUGAUGUACCAUGACCCCCAUUAGAGACAAUGGCCAAAUCUUUUUGUGAAACCUUCCUGUGCUUUUCUCGAGCAUUUAAAAUGGCAAAUGUGGCAGCAUCUCUUUUCUCUUGAAGCCUCUGCAAUGUGGCUUGCUCCUUGGCAAAAACAGCUUCUUCCUGCUUCUUCAACAUUUCACGAGCUUUCAUUGUUUUGUUCUCAAACACUUUCUCAUGAUCUUCUAAUUCAUGAAAGCGUCUCUUCAAAGAUUUCUCAAGCCCGUGAAAAUGUUCCUCAAGUUCUUUCCAUUUCAUGUUAAGAGUAACAGCUCGAUAACUUUCAAGUUCAGCAAAUGCCUUCUGCAGCUGUCGUAUCUUCGAAGAUGUGGAAUCCAUCAGUGUGGCAACUGAAUCUGUUUCUUCCAUUGCUAAGAAGCUGAAAAAGAUAUGAUAUGGAAACAAAUACUUAAUUUCAGCUUGCGAAGGCAUGAACCAUGGUUAAUAGUAUACACUACACACUCAUAAUCCUUUGAAAACAAGGCCGGCAAUGUAUAAUUUUAGGGCUUUCGAAUUUGAGGUUUAUAUAACUCAUAAAUUCCUAUUUUUAAGUCAAGAACUAGGUUUCUGUACAGAUUUGUUCCAAUCUUCUGUCACAGUAUACAAUGUAACAAAAAUAAGAUCAGUUUCUUCAUCUCUCAAUGGUAUUCUCAAUUACUUAGUUUAAUCAGGGUUCUAACUUCAAAUAGCAUAAAUAUUUAUUUAUCCAUUUCUAAAAUUAUACACAUCCUAUGUGUCUCUAUUCACUCUUUAUAAGGUGAAUUACUAACUAUGAAGGACUAACACAAACACAGGACACGCCGCUCAUAUAUAGACACCGAUACUAAUUUAAAAAUUGAAAGUAAUUGAAUGUAACACAUGUUUCAGUGUCGGACACCAACACAUGUUAAACACACGACACUGUCGAUGUUGCAUUGGUUACUAAUUAUAAAUAAAGCAUCAUAAUAACUAAUACAAACUUAAAACAAAAUAAAAUAAAAUAAAACCAUGAAGUACUUAAAGAAAUUAAAAAAAUUCCAUACAACUCUUUAUGGAUAAAAAUGGGAGAAGCUAGCAAUAGUGACACAUUAGCUAAAUUAUCAAGAUAGAAUCAUAAUCACUAUUUAUGACAUCAUAUUUAAAUAACCCUUCACUAAUUUCUUGCCUAGUAGCUAAAAAAUGGUUCAUGCAUCAAACAGAACAGAGUUUGUAAAAUAUUUAACAAACAAAAUAUCUAGAUCCAAACCUUUAGAGCAACAAUUACAAAAACUCUAAAAAAAGGGAACAGGGGCGAAAUCGGCAAAACAUUUCCGCUCAACAGUAAUACUAUAAACAGCUGAAAUCUUAAAAAUCAGAGAGUAAUAGAUUUCUAGAAAAUAAAAAAAACUAUGCAGUGCAGUGCAGUAAAUGUGUGGAAUGGAAUGGAAUAAAAAAAACGGACAAGAAACGUGGAUAGAAUCAGAAUAGAAUUAUGGUCAACAUAAGCAAACAAAGCCGAUCUAAACCGACAGCAAGAAAACAAAAUAACAGAAAAAUAAAAUAGAGAGAGAGAGAAAAGAAUAAUUACCUGAUUGAUCUGAAAGAAACUACUACUAAAACACAGAGAGAGAGUUAUCACUCCAUUUUUCUGUGUGUAACCCUCCUCACAUCAGAGAGAGAGAGAGAGAGAAUUGAUAGAGAAGGUUGAAGAAGAAGAUGGAGAAGAAAAAGUAAGAGAGAGAGAGAGAGAGAGUGUGUGGUGUUUGUUUGAUUAAAUUUAAACAAAAGCUGACUCUGUUGUUUCACACUUGUUUCCUUUUUUAAAAUUUAAAAAGAAAUGUUUUUUCAAGUUCCGUUUCCGUUUACUACUACCAACUGCAUGCUACAGAGUUAGUUAGCUGUAUGCAUGAUUGCAUGUGAGUGAGUGUGAUAAACAAAAAAACAUACAUUCUGAUUCUUCUCGGAACUUGUUGCCUCGUAUACGUGUACUACUACUCUACUAGUCUCUCUUAUCGUGAUUGUACGCAACAAAUACUUCAAUUUUUCCAAAUUAAGUGUAUUAUACUUUGACAUAUUUAUGGCUAAUAUACUUCAAUGAAUAUUUUUAAAAUAUCAAAUUUUUAUAAUUUUUUUUUAAUAAAAUUCUUUAUUCAAAACAAACUAUCAUAAAGGUAUAUGCCAAGAAGACCCUUUAACUAAAUAUACUUAACAAACUUACUUGUUGGUCCUUUUGUUUCCUUACCUAAUCCCUUUUUCUAUCCUACAUAAGCUUAUUAAUCUUUUUUAAUAAACAAUUUAUUGGUUUUUUAUUGUUCUUUCCUUUUAAGAAAAAUAUUAGUUUUCUUUAAUGAUGGUGUGGUGUAAAUCAGAUAUCUUUCACACACAACCAACACAUUGAUAUAAAUUAUUAACAUGUUAAGAGGUCCAAUAAUAAAUUUUUAGAGAUCUAUUUAGAAAUUUCAAAUAAUUUAGGGACCUCGCGAUAGCUAGUAUUAAACUUCAAAAUAUAUUUUUUUUAGCGGUACACUUUAUUAUAUUUUGAAUAAUAAUUAUAUUUAUUAAAACUAUCUCAACUACUCUUAAUAAAUUAUAUUUCACCUAACCUCUACUAGUAUAAAGACAUUUUAAUAAAACAAAAAAUAUAUACUAAUUUUAAAAUUGAAUACAAAUAAUAUUAUUUGAAGUCUUAUGCAUAGCUUAGCACAUUAUUUACUUAAAAAAUGAAUAUAAUUAUUGACCUUUAGUCUUUAACAAGUUGUUUUACUAUAAAAUGUUUAUUCUUUAACAAGUUGUUUUACUAUAAAAUGUUUAUAAAUAAUCACUAUCUAAAAGAGUGUACAUUAUCAAGUUUGGGCAUGCUACAUAUUAAUUAAAUCUCUUGAAAAGAGUUUGACGCAUCUAAAUCGAAGAAUAUUUUAGAGAUUAGUUUUGCAAUUAGUUGGUUUAAAAAAAAUAUUAUAGUGAAACAGGAGAAGUAACUAAAAACACUCCAUGAUAUAAGAAAAUGAAGCACUAUAUGAUAUUUUUCCACACCUACUUUUUUGCUCACCACCACCGCUAUUCGUAUAACAUGCUACAUAAAUUUCUUCUUUUUUUUUAAUAUAUCCGGAUGUUCUAGCUCAACUGACAAAAUGCUGAAAUUGUUAGGUCAGAUGCCAUGACCGGAGUUCGAACCCCGGUAUUUUCACUUAUGUAUGUGAGUUUAUAAUGGCUUUGCCAUUUGUCUAUCUACCCAAAAAAAAAACUUUUUUUUUAUUUUUUACUCACAAAAUUGCAUAAACUUGGUUUUAAAAAAUAAUAGGUGAAUAAGGUGAUACUUUCUCUGAUAUACUUUUUUAGACAGAACAUUUUCUAAUACUUAUUUUCAUCAUACUCUCUUUUACCAAUUAAAAUAUAAAUAAAUCUCAAUUAACUAUAUAGAUCCUACAUCAUGUUAAAAAAACCUACAUAAAAUUGGGUCUAGAGGCUCGUUGAACUCAAACCACUGUGCGUCAUUAGUCAACUCCUUAUAAAUCUUUGGUUGGCAAAUUCAUAUGAUUUUCAAUUGAUAAAGAAGUGUGUUGCAAAGCAAUACAUACUACUACUACUGGCACAAUUCUUUAGUUUUUACUAGUAAAAUACUUGUGUAUGGUUGGGUACGGUAACGAUGCAUAUUUGUGACAAAGUAAUGCACUGAAAUGUUGUAUCUUAACCAUUCCUUAAUGUAUUAACCCCUUUACCUACCUAAUCCAACUACAUCAUGUUUCUCAAAUUUUAUUUCCCACCUACUAAUCCAAAAUUAAUCCACGUUAUUCAAGGUCAAGUCAAGUGUAACCUGCCUGAGGUUUACGACUAUACCUAGACACACUUAUACCACACAAAAAGGAGAAUCAAUUCAUGCAGAUGAUAAUGGUGUUCUAAGAGUUCCUUAAACUGAUAUGCUUUUCAACUGACAAAAAUGCAGUUAUUUAAAAGCAUCGACAAUCCCCGUGAGCUUAGCUCAAUUAGUAGGGAUAUUGCAUAUUAUAUGUAAAUGCUGAAGUUUGGAUCCCGAAUAUCCCACUUCCACAUUUAAAAUAUAUGAACUCCAGCCACUGGACUACUUGACAAAAAAAAAAAAAACAUCUGACAAACAAAUUAAAGAGGAAAAAUACACUGCAAGUACAAACAAAGACAACAAAGUAAGCUUGUACAAAACGAGAACAUAACAGAGUGGAUACAUUAGAGGAUAAGUAUAUCUUCUAGCGCCAAAGUUAAAUUUUAACAUAACAUUUCACAUGUUUAAGGGAUUCUUGAAGACUACAUUUAUAAAGUACAACAUACAACAGCUUAAGGGUUAAGACUUAAGACUAAAUAUUAAUAGGGACCAUAGUUAUCAGUUCACCGUCUCUCUAAUUAGUGGAGAUAUGUAGCUUGAUAUUGGUAGCCAUUUCCAAAGUAAGUUCCAGGAUUAGGAGAGACGUUAUAGGUUGCAGAAGCCAGGAAAGGGGCACAGUGAUUUUCAGUUGGUGCAGGGUACAUGUAAGGGCGGUCAUACACGUAUUGAGGGUACCUGUCAGCAACUCUACCAUAGGAAGUUUUGUCAAAAGGAAUGUUAGUGACACGGGGACCAUAUCCAGCACCAUUAGCACGGGGUCUUUUGGGUUGAGGCUUUGUCGCUUCAGUUUCCCUCUUCUUAUCGGCCUUGGCCUUCUCUAGUUGGAUCAUUCGUUUCUGGAGAGAAUCGAUUGGAUACUGCUCCUCAAGUUUAUGUUCUUCAAUGCAUUUGAUUACGGCCUUAAGAGCAAACAGCUCUCUUUCAUUAACAUCAAGCUGAGACAAUAGCAAGUCAUUAGAAAUAUUGACACAUAUUUCCAUAAUCAAACAUAAAGAUGAAUAUUGAAGAUAGGCAAUAUUGUAGUUAUUUUGGAGCAUAAAAAUAAGGACCCAACAAAAACACCAAAUAAAUGCUUCUCUACUCUACAUGCAUUUGAUGCAUCCUUAAGGCAAUUCAAGAUGAUAAUUGAUAGAGAAUGUCUUCUAUCAUUUUUUCACUACUGCAUUUUUGGAAUCAAACAUUUUUGUCCCCAUUCUUCCAAUUGCAUUAGUGUGGCACAUUCCACAUACUUCAACCACAGACAGUAGUUAGCCAGAGUCUCUUGCCAUUAUAUCUACUAAAAGAAUGAGAUUGUGGACCACCUUUUCCUGGUGGCCAUACAACAGAUACUGGCAAACAGCUUAUGUUAUCUACAUAAUCACUGCCUGUCCCCACAGCCACAGAAGCUACCAACCACAAUAGCAUAGAGCUUCUAAGUUCUAUAAAUCACUGUGAUGGAAUCUGAGAGCCAGCCAAACCACCGAUUUGAAAGGAGUGCACUAGACCGCAUAAAAAUAGCAGGAAUAACUGCCUGAUGUAAGUUAGACUAGGAAAUAACUAGUGGCAGAACUACUUAAUGGCAGUCAUGAUUAGAAACGUCAUUGUUAGCAGUAUACGUGAUAGUAGGGUGUGUGUGCAUCAUGUAUGUGACGUUGUGCUCUAUUGUAGGCAGAGAAUACUAUCUGUAGGAGACUUUGAACUCUGGGGACAGCAAGUGUAUUGCAGUACUGUGCGUGGUUUCUGGGCAUGACGAUAUAACUAUUUGGUUAUCUCUAGUGCACCCACAUUAUCUUCGAGAUGAUUGAGAAACCCACAAUAUGACCCUAGCAACUCAACUUAAAGCAAAGAAAACUGAGUCAAUCCACAAAUGAAAUUAGGCUGGCUCUUUUUACGGCUUCCUCUGUUCUUUAACAAAUGGACAGCCAGUCUUUCACUUUCCACUAGGUGAGGUUGACUACAUAGAUCAUCAGGGUCCAUAAUGUCCUACAUUGAAUAAUGUCAAUGGAUGGAUUGUAAAAUGUCCUCCAUUCCUCUAUAUUUUAUUAAUAGAUUAUCCUUCGUCUAAUCUACCCUCCUUCUAGUGCUUCUAUAGGUCUCCUACGCACAUGUCCAAACCACCCAAGGCAAGGCCUCACCAACUUAUUUGCAAUACUACUACCCCAAAUUUCUCUCAAAUACUUUAUUCCUAAUCCUAUCUUAUCUUGUAUGACCACUCAUCCUUCAUAGCAUUCUCCUGUCUAACUGAAUUGACUUUCUUAUAGGCUCUAUACUUCUAAAAAUUCAAUCCUAUACAUUAAUACAGGUCUUAUAACUGUGUUAAAAUAUUAUUUUUAGUAUAAGUGAGGCACCUUUUCAUCAAAAAUUAUAUCUUGAGGCACUCCUGCAUGAAUCCUAUGAUUUACAUCUACUAUUCCCCAUCAUUUGGCAUGAUGAACCCAAGAACAUUAACCUGCACAAGUUGUGAUGUGGAUUGUGGUAUGUUAUCUAAUUUUCAUCUCUAAGCUAGAACUAGCAUACCUCCCGCAAAACUUACAUUCCAUAUACUCUACUUUACUGCUACAUGAACUUAUAUUCCAUAUACUCUAUUUUACAUGACAUGAAUAAACUCAGUCAAAGGCUUAUGUUGUGAAGUGUUACACAAGUCCCCGUGAAUAUAGGUAGAUAUGUAUUAUGCCCUGUCACAACAGAGACCUUUGGGAUUGAAGAGCAGACAUUGCAUAAAUCCUUCUACCUUGUGUUGAAUUCAACUUUUACAUAGAAAAAUGGGUUUGGUAACUGGUAAGAAUCAAACUCUAGACCACUAUAUCAUAGAAUCUCCAAUACCAUGGCAUGAACCAACUCUUCAAAAACUAUACUUUUAGGAGAAAACUCAUGAAUAGUUUUACAUCCACAAGAGAAUCCAAUAGAAAAAUCGUGAAUGUUUUCAUAACAUGCCAAACAAUUGCACAUUACUGUCGCAAAUUCUCAACAUGAGCACCUCCCAUUAACCAUAGUGGAGUAGAAGCACGUUAAAAUUAGGAAACAGUUCCUAAGAUCACUCCUCCAUAAGAAGAGCACCUGAUUGGACAAUAUAUCCCCACAAUAUUCUAAAAAUAUUAUAAUACAAACAUUCCUUUGCAACUAACAACCUUAAUAUUUCAUAUUGACAAUAAAACUGUUAGACAACUGACGACCUCAAUUACAACUGGACAAACAGGUAAAAAAACUAUACAAUAGUUGACAGCACGUGUUCAAAUCAUGAAUAGAAAACAACAGUAGGAAUGAUUACUUACCUGUGCAGUGGGAGAUGAGUUACCACUCUUGACUGGAGAAGAAGUUUUCUUAGCAUCAUUCAGGUAAGACUUAAGCAGAGGAAUAGGUGAGAACUGAUCUGUAAGAUCAAAUGCAAAAGCCAAGUUAACAGCAUCAAUUUGCCUCCCAUUCUUUACCAAAACUUUAAUCACACCUGCACAUCAAAAGUAAAAUGAAUCAUUUAAAGAAACCCAAGGAAACAACUUUUUCAUAAUGUAAAUCUGGAAACAUAUCUAAAUAAAAAUGAACAUGAGAUAAUUGGAUGAAAACUUGGUGCAUAAAAUAAAAGUAAGAGAACUAAUCCACACCAGGCAUCUUCUCCGACAACCCAAGGCAUCGGCAUAAAUCAGCAGUUUGGCGACGCCGAGAUACCAUUGGAAUUAGCCUGGAUAACUCCUCCUCAUUAAAAUCAGAGGCAAUACCAAAACUAGCUAGAAGUUGCAAAAAGGCAUGAGCCUCCAAGGAAUUCCCAUUGCUAGCAUCCAUGUCAAGAUCAUCCAAUCUCGGUUUCCACUCUUCAGCAACUGCCUUUGCCCUAUCCUUGAUAUCUUUGGAAAUCACAUUAGAAACAGAACCCAAAUUGGUCAGGAAAUCACUUAGACAUUCUAGCAACAUGAUACUGGUUCUGCGAAGACCCAGCAAGUUAGCAUCCUUCUUUAUAUCCUGACUUGACACUUCCGUACAAUAAAAUCCUUCCAAAGAAUCUAAAACUAGACAGCCAGCAUUGGGGGCAGCUCUUAAUGCAAGUGGUAUUUCCUCCCUUACAGCAGCAAGGUUCUUACGGUUGUCAGAUAUAAAUUUGUGAAGUCCAGCAGCAUCCAUCUCUUUGCAUAGUUUUACCAACUCCGGAUAAGACAUCAUGUCCACACUUACAUUUGCAGGAGAAAGUUU
Molecule: long non-coding RNA, 8337 nt
Filed under: Medicago truncatula (barrel medic)
Lineage: Eukaryota; Viridiplantae; Streptophyta; Magnoliopsida; Fabales; Fabaceae
Description: long non-coding RNA (MTRU_LNC005844)
Source: RNAcentral